This 231-nucleotide unclassified non-coding RNA is filed under the name plant metagenome. Its description in RNAcentral is "partial contains small subunit ribosomal RNA, internal transcribed spacer 1, and 5.8S ribosomal RNA". The record is from RNAcentral.
UCUCCGUUGGUGAACCAGCGGAGGGAUCAUUACUGAGUUACCGCUCUACAACCCUUUGUGAACAUACCUAACUGUUGCUUCGGCGGGCAGAGGUCCCUCGCGGAUCUCUCCCGGCAACGCCCUCACGGGCGGAGCGCCCGCCGGAGGAUACCAAACUCUAUUUUAACGACGUUUCUCCUGAGUGGCACAAGCAAAUAAUUAAAACUUUUAACAACGGAUCUCUUGGUUCUG